AACGAACGCUGGCGGCAUGCCUAACACAUGCAAGUCGAACGAAACCUUCGGGCUUAGUGGCGCACGGGUGCGUAACGCGUGGGAACCUGCCCGUAGGUUCGGAAUAACUCACCGAAAGGGGUGCUAAUAACGGUUAAUGUCAUCGGACCAAAGAUGUAUCGCCUUGGGAUGGGGCCGUGUUGGAUUAGCGGGUUGGUAGGGUAAAAGCAUACCAAGGCGACGAUCCAGAGCUGGUCUGAGAGGAUGAUCAGUCAGACUGGGACUAAGGCACGGCCCAGAAUGGGACGGGAGGGAGGGGAGGGUUGUAUAGGGGGAGGGGCCAUGGCCUGGUACAGCAACGCCGGGGGAGAGGUGAUGGGCUUAGGGUUGUGAAGCUGUUUUAGCCGAGAUGUUAAUGACGGUACCGGGAGAAUAAGCACCGGCUAACUCCGUG
Molecule: ribosomal RNA, 433 nt
Filed under: uncultured bacterium
Lineage: Bacteria
Description: partial 16S ribosomal RNA
Rfam family: Bacterial small subunit ribosomal RNA
Source: RNAcentral